RNAcentral lists this ribosomal RNA (578 nucleotides) under uncultured bacterium. RNAcentral's name for it is "bacterial SSU rRNA". It matches the Rfam family "Bacterial small subunit ribosomal RNA", at positions 195 to 773 of the family's 1533-position model. The record is from RNAcentral.
GUAUAAUUAAAGAUUUAUCACUUAAAGAUGGCUGUGCGCCUGAUUAGGUAGUUGGUGCGGGUAAUGGCCCACCAAGCCAACGAUCAGUAACUGGUGUGAGAGCACGACCAGUCACACGGGCACUGAGACACGGGCCCGACUCCUACGGGAGGCAGCAGUAAGGAAUAUUGGUCAAUGGACGCAAGUCUGAACCAGCCAUGCCGCGUGAAGGAUGAAGGUCCUCUGGAUUGUAAACUUCUUUUGAAUGGGACGAAACCCUGGUAUUUUUAUCAGAUUGACGGUACCAUUAGAAUAAGCACCGGCUAACUCCGUGCCAGCAGCCGCGGUAAUACGGAGGGUGCAAGCGUUAUCCGGAUUCACUGGGUUUAAAGGGUGCGUAGGUGGGUCUGAAAGUCAGUGGUGAAAUCUCCGGGCUCAACCCGGAAACUGCCAUUGAUACUACAGGUCUUGAAUUUUCUGGAGGAUAGCGGAAUAUGUCAUGUAGCGGUGAAAUGCUUAGAUAUGACAUAGAACACCAAUUGCGAAGCAGCUAUCUACAGGAAUAUUGACACUGAGGCACGAAAGCGUGGGGAUCAAAC